AGAGUUUGAUCAUGGCUCAGGACGAACGCUGGCGGCGUGCCUAAUACAUGCAAGUAGAACGCUGAAGAGAGGAGCUUGCUCUUCUUGGAUGAGUUGCGAACGGGUGAGUAACGCGUAGGUAACCUGCCUUGUAGCGGGGGAUAGCUAUUGGAAACGAUAGCUAAUACCGCAUAACAAUGGAUGACCCAUGUCAUUUAUUUGAAAGGGGCAAAUGCUCCACUACAAGAUGGACCUGCGUUGUAUUAGCUAGUAGGUGAGGUAACGGCUCACCUAGGCGACGAUACAUAGCCGACCUGAGAGGGUGAUCGGCCACACUGGGACUGAGACACGGCCCAGACUCCUACGGGAGGCAGCAGUAGGGAAUCUUCGGCAAUGGGGGCAACCCUGACCGAGCAACGCCGCGUGAGUGAAGAAGGUUUUCGGAUCGUAAAGCUCUGUUGUAAGUCAAGAACGAGUGUGAGAGUGGAAAGUUCACACUGUGACGGUAGCUUACCAGAAAGGGACGGCUAACUACGUGCCAGCAGCCGCGGUAAUACGUAGGUCCCGAGCGUUGUCCGGAUUUAUUGGGCGUAAAGCGAGCGCAGGCGGUUUGAUAAGUCUGAAGUUAAAGGCUGUGGCUCAACCAUAGUUCGCUUUGGAAACUGUCAAACUUGAGUGCAGAAGGGGAGAGUGGAAUUCCAUGUGUAGCGGUGAAAUGCGUAGAUAUAUGGAGGAACACCGGUGGCGAAAGCGGCUCUCUGGUCUGUAACUGACGCUGAGGCUCGAAAGCGUGGGGAGCGAACAGGAUUAGAUACCCUGGUAGUCCACGCCGUAAACGAUGAGUGCUAGGUGUUGGAUCCUUUCCGGGAUUCAGUGCCGCAGCUAACGCAUUAAGCACUCCGCCUGGGGAGUACGACCCCAAGGUUGAAACUCAAAGGAAUUGACGGGGGCCCGCACAAGCGGUGGAGCAUGUGGUUUAAUUCGAAGCAACGCGAAGAACCUUACCAGGUCUUGACAUCCCGAUGCUAUUUCUAGAGAUAGAAAGUUACUUCGGUACAUCGGUGACAGGUGGUGCAUGGUUGUCGUCAGCCCGUGUCGUGAGAUGUUGGGUUAAGUCCCGCAACGAGCGCAACCCCUAUUGUUAGUUGCCAUCAUUCAGUUGGGCACUCUAGCGAGACUGCCGGUAAUAAACCGGAGGAAGGUGGGGAUGACGUCAAAUCAUCAUGCCCCUUAUGACCUGGGCUACACACGUGCUACAAUGGUUGGUACAACGAGUUGCGAGUCGGUGACGGCAAGCUAAUCUCUUAAAGCCAAUCUCAGUUCGGAUUGUAGGCUGCAACUCGCCUACAUGAAGUCGGAAUCGCUAGUAAUCGCGGAUCAGCACGCCGCGGUGAAUACGUUCCCGGGCCUUGUACACACCGCCCGUCACACCACGAGAGUUUGUAACACCCGAAGUCGGUGAGGUAACCUUUUGGAGCCAGCCGCCUAAGGUGGGAUAGAUGAUUGGGGUGAAGUCGUAACAAGGUA
RNAcentral lists this ribosomal RNA (1506 nucleotides) under metagenome. Its description in RNAcentral is "bacterial SSU rRNA". It matches the Rfam family "Bacterial small subunit ribosomal RNA". The record is from RNAcentral.